GACGAACGCUGGCGGCGUGCUUAACACAUGCGAGUCGAACGGUAAGGCCCCUUCGGGGGUACACGAGUGGCGAACGGGUGAGUAACACGUGAGCAACCUGCCCUUGACUCUGGAAUAACAGUUGGAAACAGCUGCUAAUACUGGAUAUUCAUCGUCUCCUUCCUGGGGGGUGGUGGAAAGCUCCGGCGGUCAGGGAUGGGCUCGCGGCCUAUCAGCUUGUUGGUGAGGUAAUGGCUCACCAAGGCUUCGACGGGUAGCCGGCCUGAGAGGGCGACCGGCCACACUGGGACUGAGAUACGGCCCAGACUCCUACGGGAGGCAGCAGUGGGAAUAUUGCACAAUGGGCGCAAGCCUGAUGCAGCAACGCCGCGUGCGGGAUGACGGCCUUCGGGUUGUAAACCGCUUUCAGUAGGGACGAAGGGUGACUGACGGUACCUACAGAAGAAGGACCGGCUAACUACGUG
This 464-nucleotide ribosomal RNA is filed under the name uncultured bacterium. RNAcentral's name for it is "partial 16S ribosomal RNA". It matches the Rfam family "Bacterial small subunit ribosomal RNA", at positions 28 to 507 of the family's 1533-position model. The record is from RNAcentral.